Molecule: ribosomal RNA, 492 nt
Filed under: uncultured bacterium
Lineage: Bacteria
Description: partial 16S ribosomal RNA
Rfam family: Bacterial small subunit ribosomal RNA
Source: RNAcentral
AGUGAACGCUGGCGGUAGGCCUAACACAUGCAAGUCGAACGGCAGCACAGUAAGAUCUUGCUCUUACGGGUGGCGGGUGGCGGACGGGUGAGGAAUACAUCGGAAUCUACUUUUUCGUGGGGGAUAACGUAGGGAAACUUACGCUAAUACCGCAUACGUCCUACGGGUGAAAGCAGGGGAUCUUCGGACCUUGCGCGAUUGAAUGAGCCGAUGUCGGAUUAGCUAGUUGGCAGGGUAAAGGCCCACCAAGGCGACGAUCCGUAGCUGGCCUGAGAGGAUGAUCGGCCACACUGGAACUGAGACACGGUCCAGACUCCUACGGGAGGCAGCAGUGGGGAAUAUUCGACAAUGGGCGCAAGCCUGACCCAGCCAUACCGCGUGAGUGAAGAAGGCCUUCGGGUCGUAAAGCCCUUUUGUUGGGAAAGAAAAGCAGCAUGUUAAUCCCCCGCUGUUCUGACGGUACCCAAAGAAUAAGCACCGGCUAACUUCGUG